This 497-nucleotide ribosomal RNA is filed under the name uncultured bacterium. RNAcentral's name for it is "partial 16S ribosomal RNA". It matches the Rfam family "Bacterial small subunit ribosomal RNA", at positions 28 to 507 of the family's 1533-position model. The record is from RNAcentral.
GAUGAACGCUGGCGGCGUGCCUAAUACAUGCAAGUCGAGCGAACGGACGAGAAGCUUGCUUCUCUGAUGUUAGCGGCGGACGGGUGAGUAACACGUGGAUAACCUACCUAUAAGACUGGGAUAACUUCGGGAAACCGGAGCUAAUACCGGAUAAUAUUUUGAACCGCAUGGUUCAAAAGUGAAAGACGGUCUUGCUGUCACUUAUAGAUGGAUCCGCGCUGCAUUAGCUAGUUGGUAAGGUAACGGCUUACCAAGGCAACGAUGCAUAGCCGACCUGAGAGGGUGAUCGGCCACACUGGAACUGAGACACGGUCCAGACUCCUGCGGGAGGCAGCAGUAGGGAAUCUUCCGCAAUGGGCGAAAGCCUGACGGAGCAACGCCGCGUGAGUGAUGAAGGUCUUCGGAUCGUAAAACUCUGUUAUUAGUGAAGAACAUAUGUGUAAGUAACUGUGCACAUCUUGACGGUACCUAAUCAGAAAGCCACGGCUAACUACGUG